UGAAAAAAGUAUUAGGUACUCAAUGGAAACUGCUAGGACUAAAUCUUUUAAUUUCCUGGAUUAAACUAGAUAACAUUGACAAUGAAGCAUCCUUUCCUGAUGUCAUUGCUAAGAAAGAAGAAGUAAUUCAACUGUGGAUGUCACAAGAACCCACCUGGAUAGUGUUGGUAGACGCUCUCAGUCAACCUUCAAUUGGAUUGUCCCAGAAAGCAAGUCAAACCUCAAGAGAACACAAUGUGCCUCUACAAGAGAAAAUCCUCUGCGAAAACAAUUCAUCCCUCCGUCCUGACGAGGACUUUCUCCAAUCAUUUGCUGCUAUUAUUGGCUCUCGAUGGCAGUGUCUUGCUUCUCCCCUCUCCCUCACUUCUAAAGUCAUUGAGAGCAUCAAGAGAGAGACAACCAGACAAGCACUUGUGAUGCUACAGAAGUGGGCAGCCAGGGAGACGGCAAAUUAUGGUCAGUUGAGAGAGAAACUCUGUACACUCCGUACACUCUCAGUGUUUCAUAUCUGAGAAAAGUUAGUUCAUUUAUCACAGCAGAAAUUUUAGCUAUAUACAUUCCAUAUUCAUGCAAUUGCGGCCUUUUAAAGCUAAUGGACGUAGCUAUACGUUAUCAAUGCACCUAUAUAGCUUUUUACCAAAAUAUAUCACCAUUAAUUAUUGUUUUGUGUCACUUAACUUUCAGGAUUAUGCUUUGCCAUUCAUGUUAUUACAUUUAAGCAACAAUAAUGCUACACUGCACUUUUAAUUUGCAUACUGCCCUGCAAAUGCAAUGCACCAUGCCAACUUCAUCAAAUCGCACUUUCGCACCCUACAAAUCGCAUAAUUUUGUUAGCCUACUAGUUUCUUUUAUUGUCAAUUCUUACUGUCAAUGCUUCCCCCAAGUAACUUUGGUACAGUAACUGCACAGCUAUAUAGGUAUAGCGAUGUACAAACGUUCUGUACAGCUCCAACAUUGAUGAUUUGCAAAGUGUUGCUCUUGCUCUGUCGUAAACAAGGAACCUCUAAUCAGAGUUUGAUUCGUUAGCAGUAGUUGAAGAGGUUUGAUGAGGGCGAUCCUCUCCAACUCAAUACAGUUGCCACUAUUUUCAGUUAUUGAGUGGUUGAAUAAGAUUUGUAAGUGCGAACUAAGUACCUCUAAUCAGACAUAAGGAACUUACUUAGAAUUAUCAUCCCCUAUCGAACUUUCCACGGAGACAAGCUCUCUUUCAUGGGAUUGUUGAAAUACGUUCCAGCUUGCAAAGUAAGCGCUUCCUUAUCUCUCACAUAGAAAUUACACUGCUGUCCGAAAAGAGUUACAUCAACAUUUAUUAAUGCUAAAGCAGACCUCAACAAACUCAUCGAUCAACUUAAGCUCAGUGUAGGCAUUAUUCCAGAAUCACUAUACUGGAAAGAGUGCUACCAGAGUACAUCACAAAGGAAAGUCUACUUAAGCUGCAUUACUGUCAAGAAAUUGAGAAUGUGUACGUGUAUGCAAGAGGACUAUUUUCUUUCUCAACUCACUUUGGGGCCAGUACGAACAGAAAGUGCCACUAACGAAAAUAUUUUCCCUGUUCUAUAACUAUGAUCUCAAGCUCGAGGAAAUUCAAUGUCCUAAAUCCGUAAAAUUACUUUGGGAUGGUAUGCUAAAUGUGAUGGUGACAGAUUAGACUUCUUCCCAACACUAUUUAUUUAUGUGCUUAUCGUUCAUCUCUCACAAAUUUGCUGCAUUAAAACGAAGCAUGCCAACAAGUCCGCUACAGCUUCCGAUUUUUUGUUUGUGGAUGUAUACAGUAACACUGCCAAUCCUCGCUGUUAUGUCUGGUCAACUGGUCGAUCUUGCAUUGGCUUAUGAAAAACGGAGUCAAGGUAUUAUUUUGUCGAUAUAUGCUCAAAGAUGCUAAUAGUAAAGAACUGAUUGUAUUAAAGGAUCGAGUGAUAUCCGAAAUGAAGUAGAGUGUUCCAAAACUCUGUAUCUAUUUAUUCAAAGGUAUAAUUGAAGCAAAAAUGGAGUUCUAUGCUGGCUGUACCUUCUUGAUCUGAGCAAUAUCUUCUGCAAUAUCUUAAAAAAAAAUGCAGAUGCAUCAUAUAGAUCUCAUUGAUAAAACAUUAGCAGAAGGCACUGAGCGAGUCAUGGAUAAAGAAGGACGAUGCUUCUCCUCUCCGAUAAAAGAUUGGAUCAGCCCAACAAGACGGACCAUAUCUUACUGGAAUUUGUUAAUCUUCCUUGGCGAAAUUGCUAAGAAAAGAGUAUUUUGACCGUGGUUCUCAGAAACUCUCCUGGAAAAUGUUGGUUGCUGCUCUCAGUCAACCUUCAAUUAGAUUGUCCCAGAAAGAAAAGCAAGUCUCACAAGAACACAACGUAACUCUACAAGAGAAAUCCUCGAAGGCAAUUCAUUUGUCUGUCCUGGCAAGGACUUUGUCCAAUCGUUUGCUGCCAUCAUUGGCUCUCGAUGGCAGUGUCUUGCUUCUCCCCUCUCCCUCACUUCUGAAGACAUUGUGAGCAUCAAGAGAGAGACAAGAGGAGCAGAGCCGACCAAACAAGCACUCGUCAUACUGCAGAAGUGCAUGGGAAACCAGACAGACGGAAACUUAUGAUCAGUUCAUAUAUCUGAGAACUUUAGUAUCAGGACAAGUAAAUGUACCUAGCUGUAGCUACGUUCAAUUGCACCUGUAUAACUAUUGUUAUACGUCACCAUGUUUGUGUCUUAGAACUUCAGAAUUUAUAUGGUAUUACCUUGUCAAUUAAAUUAUAAUUAUUUUCAAUACACCAUGCAUGAUGCAUAGCUAUUUAUAUACCGCAAUUAUUUAUAGUAUCAUUUGGUUACCUCAAUUCUUAUCAGUAAUUGUUUCC
Molecule: long non-coding RNA, 2832 nt
Organism: Halichondria panicea
Lineage: Eukaryota; Metazoa; Porifera; Demospongiae; Suberitida; Halichondriidae
Exons: 4
Source: RefSeq, a predicted model, not a curated record